GACGAACGCUGGCGGCGUGCUUAACACAUGCCAGUCGAACGGAAAGGCCCUGCUUUUGUGGGGUGCUCGAGUGGCGAACGGGUGAGUAACACGUGAGUAACCUGCCCUUGACUUUGGGAUAACUUCAGGAAACUGGGGCUAAUACCGGAUAGGAGCUCCUGCUGCAUGGUGGGGGUUGGAAAGUUUCGGCGGUUGGGGAUGGACUCGCGGCUUAUCAGCUUGUUGGUGGGGUAGUGGCUUACCAAGGCUUUGACGGGUAGCCGGCCUGAGAGGGUGACCGGCCACAUUGGGACUGAGAUACGGCCCAGCCUCCUACGGGUGGCAGCAGUGGGGAAUAUUGCACAAUGGGCGGAAGCCUGAUGCAGCAACGCCGCGUGCGGGAUGACGGCCUUCGGGUUGUAAACCGCUUUCGCCUGUGACGAAGCGUGAGUGACGGUAAUGGGUAAAGAAGCACCGGCUAACUACGUG
RNAcentral lists this ribosomal RNA (468 nucleotides) under uncultured bacterium. Its description in RNAcentral is "partial 16S ribosomal RNA". It matches the Rfam family "Bacterial small subunit ribosomal RNA", at positions 28 to 507 of the family's 1533-position model. The record is from RNAcentral.